This 253-nucleotide ribosomal RNA is filed under the name uncultured bacterium. RNAcentral's name for it is "partial 16S ribosomal RNA". It matches the Rfam family "Bacterial small subunit ribosomal RNA", at positions 524 to 776 of the family's 1533-position model. The record is from RNAcentral.
UACGGAGGGUGCAAGCGUUGUUCGGAAUCCCUGGGCGUAAAGGGCGUGUAGGCGGUCCGCUAAGUCUGAUGUGAAAGCCCGGGGCUCACCCCCGGAAGGGCAUUGGAAACUGGCGGACUCGAGUCCCGGAGAGGAAGGUGGAAUUCCUGGUGUAGCGGUGAAAUGCGUAGAUAUCAGGAGGAAUACCGGUGGCGAAGGCGGCCUUCUGGACGGUGACUGACGCUGAGACGCGAAAGCGUGGGGAGCAAACAGG